GGGAGGCCGGGAGGGGUCCCUGGGCGGGGAGUUGCUGCGCAUCUGUUGUGUGUGUGCGUCUGUCUGUCUGUUCAGGUCUGUUUUAGGCUGUGUCUGCCUGUCUCUCUGUCUGGGUCUCUUUCAGGCUGCGUCGGUCUGUCUGUCUGGGUCUGUUUCAGGCUGUGUCUGUCUGUCUGUCUGGGUCUGUUUCAGGCUGUGUCUGUCUGUCUGUCCGGGUCUGUUUCAGGCUGUGUCUGUCUGUCUGUCCGGGUCUGUUUCAGGCUGUGUCUGUCUGUCUGUCCGGGUCUGUUUCAGGCUGUAUGUGUGUCUGCUCUUUGCUUCUGCUCCUGGCUCUGUGUGUAUUUCCCGGGUCCUGUG
This 357-nucleotide long non-coding RNA is filed under the name Homo sapiens (human). Its description in RNAcentral is "HSALNT0395740". Lineage: Eukaryota; Metazoa; Chordata; Mammalia; Primates; Hominidae. The record is from RNAcentral.